Mauremys mutica (yellowpond turtle) is the source of this 5055-nucleotide RNA transcript. It is a transcript of the gene named ras-related protein Rab-39B-like, with no coding region annotated. NCBI's taxonomy places the organism in Eukaryota, Metazoa, Chordata, Testudines, Geoemydidae. The record is from RefSeq and is a predicted model, not a curated record. The transcript is spliced from 3 exons.
AUGAGUCAGAGUGUUUGGUGCUGAUGUUGCUGCCAUUUCAUCAGCUCUGUGAUCCCCAGCAUCCCCUAUUCACCAGCUCUCCAUCUUUACAACCCUGGGCAUCUCUGCGACUGAAGCCCACACUGGAGGAAGGGCUGCGAUUCUUCUGUCUGCAGAUGAAACCUCUUCUCUGGAGCUAGCCGGAUGCCCUUGAGGACUAUCCCCUUUGUAAUCCCUGCUUGGAGGCACAGAAUAAUAGAGCCUAGGAAGCCUUCUAGCAUCGGGCUGUUUUUCUGUUUUAAUCAAGCUCGGACUUCCUGAGCCUGGAGGCUUUGAUCUUCCUGUAUGCAGGGUGGAUUCUGUUUUGGUGAGGGGUACCGGAGAGGGGGAUUCAGAACCUUUUCUUGGAGUCCUUCCUUGCUGACCUGGAUUUAGGCUGCUGAGUUAUAGCUCUAGAUAUUUGUGUUAACACAGCGGGGGGGAAAAGGUUGGAGCCCUUGAAUGAGAGCUGGAAAUUCAUUCCAACCCCCUUUCUGCUGUUGUAACCAGGCCAGCCAUUGCCAAGUUCUUUUCAAUGCAUUACAAAAGCAUUUCUCUGCCAUUGCAACAGGAAACACGGAUCAGUAGCAAGAUGCAUGUCGGAUCCUGAUUAAAAAAGCAAAACAACAAGCUGGCGAAGAGGGAGAUCUAGGCUGGUCUGGGGCAAAAUGGAGACCAUCUGACCUUUGCAUUUCCAGCAGAGCCAUUUCGCGUGUGUGUUGCAGAACUGGAGGCAGAGGCGGGGGUGCAAUCCUGCCACCCGCAUCUCCUGCAAGAAGAUUUCCCAGCAGCCAGAAACCAUGACUGGACAGGGGAACAGAGCUCCCACGCAUUCUGAAGGCUUCCCUGAUAGCCACCUGCCACGCAGACCUGCCCUUGUAGCGCGUCUAUUUCUCUCCUAAAGCAGAGAGCCAGCACCUAGCAGCAGCGGGGAGGCUGAGACGCCCUCUGGUGGGCAGUGCGGGCCACGCAGCGCGCCCUCUGGUGGGCAGCGUCCCUACAGCGCCCUCUGCUGGGUGCCUGCAGGACUGUGAGCAGAAGCGCCGGGCACCUGCCGGCCGCAGAGCCUCCCUCGCACCCGCGCGCGGCUCGGCAUGGGCUGUGCGGAGCGUGCCCGGCCCUAGGCGCUGUGCAGCGGCUGCAUUGCCCCGGGCGCAGCGCUCCGCGAGGCCAGAGCUGCGCGAGCCGCUGCGCGGGGGGGGCGGAGGGGAAGCAUGGAAGCGAUUUGGCUCUACCAGUUCCGCCUGAUCGUGAUCGGAGACUCCACCGUGGGCAAAUCCUGCCUGAUCCGCCGCUUCACCGAGGGGCGCUUCGCCCAGGUCUCGGACCCCACGGUGGGCGUGGAUUUCUUCUCCCGGCUGGUGGAGAUUGAGCCGGGGAAGCGGAUCAAGCUGCAGAUCUGGGACACGGCCGGGCAGGAGCGGUUCAGAUCCAUCACCAGAGCCUACUACAGAAACUCAGUAGGCGGGCUCCUCUUAUUUGACAUUACAAACCGCAGGUCCUUCCAGAACGUCCAUGAGUGGCUAGAAGAGACAAAGGUGCACGUCCAGCCCUACCAGAUUGUCUUCGUUUUGGUAGGUCACAAAUGUGACCUUGACACACAGCGGCAAGUCACUAGACACGAGGCUGAGAAACUGGCUGCUGCAUAUGGCAUGAAGUACAUUGAGACAUCUGCUCGGGAUGCCAUUAACGUAGAGAAGGCCUUCACUGACCUGACUCGAGAUAUAUACGAGCUUGUUAAAAGGGGGGACAUUUCGAUCCAGGAGGGCUGGGAAGGGGUAAAGAGUGGGUUUGUACCGAACGUAGUGCACUCUUCAGAAGAGGUGGUGAAAUCAGAUAGGAGAUGCUUGUGCUAAUCACGUCUAGUGAGAAAAGCUAUGAUGAACUCUACUAAUCAAACAUACUCUAUUAAGUGAACUCAGUGUGAUGGAAAAGGGAUUGUAACACUAGCAUGGUGAAUGGCCUCACACGUUGUUUUGGACACUAGAGGAACAGAACCAGGAAAGAAAUGGAGACAGGAGGCAUAAGAACAAGAGGGGAUCUGAAUGAGAUGGAACAGAAGAGGGAAUUUUACAUGUACUGGUUUUGUAUGCCACGUGUUGAAGCCACAGUCUGAACAGUCUAUUAAUACAACACACCCGAGAGGAGAGAGAAAAAUCUUGGUUUGCAUCAACAAUUUAUUUCCAGGAAGAUUAGAAUAUAGUGCGAAUGUUAAUUCCACAGUUAACUCAAAAGAAACAUUUUACAGAUGUGGCACACACACUUUUGGGGCUUAAUGGUCUUGUACCUCAUUAAAACAUAGACUAAGACUAUAAUAUGGUCCUUUAAAAGGAAAAUAGGGGUUAUUUUACUGAUAAUUAAAACUUAAGCAUUUCCAUCCCCCUGGAGAGGGGUGUUUUCCUUGCCCUGCCUAGCUGAGACUAAGGGCCAAGUCCAGCAUGACAGCUCCAAUUAUAAUCAUCGGAUGAAUUUAUAAACACUGUUCUCUCUCUACAUGACUGUAGUAGAAGUACCUCGACUAUAUGGAUUGCCAAUAUCAUUAACAGAUCAAGAGUAUAAAGCUUCCUAAGUGUAUCCUCACAUCCAGUAUCUCACAGAUGGGUCAUGACAACCAAUGAUGAGCAGUCAGUUGGGAAAGGCGGAUAUUUCUGUCUUACUGUCAGAAACAGAAUGACGUUGGCAGCAUUUCACUGUAAACGUACAUUGCUCCUUAGGGAAAAAGGAAAGAACUAAAGAAGAUUUAAAUCAAGAGCAUCACACAUCCCUGGAGCUGGUUCCGGUACUGAAAGCAGGGGCUAGGGGCAGCAUUCUCUGCUCUUACUGGGUUGCUUUCUGUACUGGCGUCUGGGGAAGGAGAGACAUAGGAAGUGGAAGGAGGGGUAUAGAGCUAAAGUGUCUGAGAGGGUGAAAAGGGAAGAUGAGAGAAGCAUAGGAGAAAAUCUCUUCUCUUUGUUUUAUUUAUAUUCUACCCAAGAUGGAGCCUACACCGGGCAGGUAGCUGACUUACAAAGGCUAUAACUAAGUGUCCAUUUUCUGGGAACACCAUCUACCAUUUCAGCUUUGCUUCAUGUAAGUACUGUAUUAACUAAAGCUUUUGGAAUGCAGACGGGUAACAAUGUGCCUGUAUUGUGCCGAGGAGGAUCAACACGUUAGCAGAACAGACAGCGACAUUUAUUCAAGUUUGCAAGCUUUACAAGCCAAACUGUUCAUUUGGUUAUGAGGGAUUAGGCAAACCACAUAGAGAUCCAGCAUUUGAAUACAGGCCUCCAGGUAGACAAGAAUAAAGUACUUCUAAUUGCUCCUCUAAGGUACCAUGUUCCAUAAGAGUAGGAUUUCUGACAAGUUGAAUCUGUCUUGCUUCAGAUCCGUUCUUGUGUUUUGUACCAUUUGAGCCCGACUGUAUCAUAAAAAUAACAAGACCGUUGCUUAGGUAUGAAAGCUGUAAAAAAAAUUUAAAUGAAUAAUAUUUUACCUUUAAAUUUUCUAGUAACAUUUGCAAUCCUUGAGCUCAGCGGGUGAGAGCAAACAUGGUAUGCCACUGUGAAUUCAUAGGCUGCAAAUGUAGAUCCAGAGGAUAUUGAAAUGGGGGUUGGCUGCAGGAAAUGAAACAGCCUUUUACUUCUGAAUACCAAUGGUCAAUCUUGAUUAGGUCACAGCUGUAUUCAGUUUGCUGGCCUAACUCUAAGACUCCCAUUCAACUCUCACUGAAGUCCAUGGAAGCCUUUCCAGUGCUUUCAAGAGAAGGUAGAGAUGGCCCUCUAUCUGCAGCGAGCAUUACAAAACCUCUUUCUUGAAUGGCCCAAUUUGGCAUGAUUGAGAGUCUUGGCUCAGGAGAGACCUACAACAACAUGGGUAUUGCAGGCAAUCCCCCCCUCAGCUUACACCAACGACAGCGAGAACUGAGGGGCAGUGGUGGAGCGUGGUGAGGCACAUGCAGCAUUUACCCAGAGUUGUCAGUCUCUCCCCUUCACAAACAAGAGCAGCCAUAUUUAAAAGGGUCCAGUGUCUUUAUGUACCUUUAUUCACUGAAUGGAAAAUAUGCCAAGCUACCGUUUUAGCCUUUCAAGGCUGAGUCAGCUCUAAAGUUGUCUCUGAUUUUCUACUUUAAACAACAAUCCAUCUUAAAUGUAGAGACUUUGGUUUAAUCAAGUAAUACUCUGUGAACAUAGAUGGAAGUAAAACUUUUGGGGCUGGUUAUGUUUCCUGUAUCACCAAAGUCUCAUGAGCCAGCAUAGCAGGACCUCACUGAUGGGGAAAAUAAUUGAGCUUUUCACUGCAUUUCCGUUUUUUUUUUAAAUGAUACAGAAAAUCUACUUUUCAGUUAGUGGCGUCGGGUUUUUAGUAUUUAAAUAUAAAACUUAGAAAAAUCAUAAAAAAGCUUGUUCAGGCUUUGAGUAAACCUUGAAUUUGUAUUGUAAGUAUAGUUCAAAAAAGGUACAAUAUGAGAAAAAAUCUGUGCUGUCUGAAACUAACUACUUAAAAAUAAUGAAACAAAAGGACAUGGUUAAUAUUGAAUAAAAGACCAUUGUGUACACCUGUUUUCUAAUUCCUUGCAUUUUCUAGGCAGCUUAUAAAAACAAAUAGACAAUGUAAUACAGUCUUGUGUACAAGUCUGGGCUGUUUUUUUCUUUUUCUAAAAUGAAAAACCUUAUAGGCUUUGAUAAACGUUCUUUUCUAACAACUGGUUUUAGUGCUUUGACUACUGCAAAAGGCAUUAGAGAAAUCAGAUGGUGGUAUCAUUCAAAAGAAACAUCCAGGAGGUUUUACCCUACGACAAAGGAAAAAACGUUAUGUGGUACAGGUCACAGAUUAAAAACAAACAAACAAUCUGCAUGUUGGACUGGAAUUUCUCAGAACCUCCAGAAUAAAGUAUACUGUACACUUUUCCUUGCUUUCUGUUAUGCACUGUAAUGAAAUGUGAAAACCCCUCGCUGUAUUUAGCUGUAUGUGAAUGAAACAUGCUUGUAUUUAGCAAAAUUGUUAAUGUGAUUAUGUGAAAUUCAAAUCUUGUAAAGAAAAACUUGUGUUUUUUCCUUC